Molecule: ribosomal RNA, 452 nt
Rfam family: Bacterial large subunit ribosomal RNA
CUCUUAUAGAACAUAAUUAUAAGUACCACCUGCUCAAUCGACAAACUUAAAUAGCCGCAGUUUCCUGUGCUAAGGUAGCAUAAUCAUUUGUCUUCUAAUUAAAGACUAGCAUGAACGGUGACACAUUUAACUCCUAUUUCAUAUUUUCAUCACUGAACCUAUUCUAAAUAUUAAAAAAUAUUUAUAAACUAAAAAGACGACAAGACCCUGUCAAACUUUAACUAAAGUUAAGCUGGGGCAGCUAUACAAAAAAAACUUCUAAGUACCACCUACUCCCGUAAGCUUAGACCUGCUAAAAGCAAUCUUCUGAACAAGUUACUGCAGGGAUAACAGCGCAAUUACUCUCCAAAGUCCUUAUACCAAGAGCUGUAUGCGACCUCGAUGUUGAAUUAACUCUCCCUUCUAAACGCAACCGUUUAAUAAGUAGGUCGUUCGACCUUUAAAAAGUUACG